AAAGUUAAACGGCCGCGGUAUCCUGACCGUGCAAAGGUAGCAUAAUCACUUGUUCCUUAAUUAGGGACUAGUAUGAAUGGCUAAACGAGGACUUAACUGUCUCUUAUUCUGUAUCAGUGAAAUUGACCUUCCAGUGAAGAGGCUGGAAUUCUUCAAUAAGACGAGAAGACCCUAUGGAGCUUAAAUCAAUUAACUUAAUUUUUAUCUAUUCCAUCCUACUGGCCUAAAAACAAAAAUAUAAGUUAAAAAUUUUGGUUGGGGUGACCUCGGAGAACAAAAAAUCCUCCGAAUGAUUUUAGCACAGACUAACAAGUCAAAGCAAUAUUCUAAAUCUUAUUGACCCAAAAAUUUUUGAUCAACGGACCAAGUUACCCUAGGGAUAACAGCGCAAUCCUAUUUGAGAGUCCAUAUCGACAAUUAGGGUUUACGACCUCGAUGUUGGAUCAGGACAUCCUAA
RNAcentral lists this ribosomal RNA (457 nucleotides) under Parotomys littledalei (Littledale's whistling rat). RNAcentral's name for it is "partial 16S ribosomal RNA". It matches the Rfam family "Bacterial large subunit ribosomal RNA", at positions 1919 to 2550 of the family's 2925-position model. Lineage: Eukaryota; Metazoa; Chordata; Mammalia; Rodentia; Muridae. The record is from RNAcentral.